Molecule: non-coding RNA, 70 nt
Organism: Phytophthora infestans T30-4
Lineage: Eukaryota; Oomycota; Peronosporomycetes; Peronosporales; Peronosporaceae
Source: the annotation of a RefSeq genome assembly
GACGACGUAACUCAGUGGAAGAGCUCAGGGCUCCGCCCUGGGGACCCUGGGUCCAAACCAGCCGUCGCCA